This 70-nucleotide transfer RNA is filed under the name Loxodonta africana (African savanna elephant). It matches the Rfam family "tRNA". Rfam says of the family: Transfer RNA (tRNA) molecules are approximately 80 nucleotides in length. Their secondary structure includes four short double-helical elements and three loops (D, anti-codon, and T loops). Lineage: Eukaryota; Metazoa; Chordata; Mammalia; Proboscidea; Elephantidae. The record is from Rfam by way of RNAcentral.
GCAGUGGUAGUUCAGUGAUAGAAUUCUCACCUUCCUGCAGGAGACAUGGGUUCAAUUCCCGGCCAAUGCA